GGGGAUGUGGCUUAGUGGUAGAGCACUUGCCUAGCAUGCAUGAGACCCUAGGUUUGAUCCCUAGCACCACCCCCA
This 75-nucleotide transfer RNA is filed under the name Heterocephalus glaber (naked mole-rat). Its description in RNAcentral is "tRNA-Ala (AGC) (tRNA-Ala-AGC-23-1)". It matches the Rfam family "tRNA". From Rfam's summary of the family: Transfer RNA (tRNA) molecules are approximately 80 nucleotides in length. Their secondary structure includes four short double-helical elements and three loops (D, anti-codon, and T loops). The record is from RNAcentral. Lineage: Eukaryota; Metazoa; Chordata; Mammalia; Rodentia; Bathyergidae.